UAAAGGUAAGGUAAAGGUGAGGUAAAGGUAAAGGUGGUGUAAAGGUAAAGGUGAGGUAAAGGUGAGGUAAAGGUAAAGGUAAGGUAAAGGUAAAGGUAAAAGUAAGGUAAAGGUGGUGUAAAGGUAAAGUAAAGGUGAGGUAAAGGUAAAGGUAAAAGUAAGGUAAAGGUGGUGUAAAGGUAAAGUAAAGGUGAGGUAAAGGUAAAGGUGGUGUAAAGGUAAAGGUAAGGUAAAGGUGAGGUAAAGGUAAAGGUGAGGUAAAGGUAAAGGUGAGGUAAAGGGGAUAUAAAGGUAAAGGUGAGGUAAAGGUAAAGGUGAGGUAAAAGUAAAGGUGAGGUAAAAGUAAAGGUAAAGGUGAGGUAAAAGUAAAGGUAAAGGUGAGGUAAAAGUAAAGGUAAAGGUGAGGUAAAGGUGAGGUAAAGGUAAAGGUAAAGGUGAGGUGAAAGUAAAGGUAAAGGUGAAGUAAAAGUAAAGGUAAGGUAAAGGUAAAGGUGAGGUAAAGGUAAAGGUGAGGUAAAGGUAAAGGUGAGGUAAAAGUAAAGGUAAAGGUGAGGUAAAGGUAAAGGUGAGGUAAAGGUA
This is a long non-coding RNA of Dicentrarchus labrax (European seabass), 579 nucleotides long. RefSeq lists it as uncharacterized. Lineage: Eukaryota; Metazoa; Chordata; Actinopteri; Moronidae. The transcript has 4 exons. The record is from RefSeq and is a predicted model, not a curated record.